RNAcentral lists this ribosomal RNA (497 nucleotides) under uncultured bacterium. Its description in RNAcentral is "partial 16S ribosomal RNA". It matches the Rfam family "Bacterial small subunit ribosomal RNA", at positions 28 to 507 of the family's 1533-position model. The record is from RNAcentral.
GAUGAACGCUGGCGGCGUGCCUAAUACAUGCAGGUCGAGCGAACAGACGAGGAGCUUGCUCCUCUGACGUUAGCGGCGGACGGGUGAGUAACACGUGGAUAACCUACCUAUAAGACUGGGAUAACUUCGGGAAACCGGAGCUAAUACCGGAUAAUAUAUUGAACCGCAUGGUUCAAUAGUGAAAGACGGUUUUGCUGUCACUUAUAGAUGGAUCCGCGCUGCAUUAGCUAGUUGGUAAGGUAACGGCUUACCAAGGCAACGAUGCAUAGCCGACCUGAGAGGGUGAUCGGCCACACUGGAACUGAGACACGGUCCAGACUCCUACGGGAGGCAGCAGUAGGGAAUCUUCCGCAAUGGGCGAAAGCCUGACGGAGCAACGCCGCGUGAGUGAUGAAGGUCUUCGGAUCGUAAAACUCUGUUAUUAGGGAAGAACAAAUGUGUAAGUAACUAUGCACGUCUUGACGGUACCUAAUCAGAAAGCCACGGCUAACUACGUG